RNAcentral lists this ribosomal RNA (984 nucleotides) under uncultured prokaryote. RNAcentral describes it as "bacterial SSU rRNA". It matches the Rfam family "Bacterial small subunit ribosomal RNA", at positions 49 to 1034 of the family's 1533-position model. The record is from RNAcentral.
CCGCUCCUGCAGUCGAGCGGAUGAGAGGAGCUUGCUCCUUGAUUUACGGCGGACGGGUGAGUAAUGCCUAGGAAUCUGCCUGGUAGUGGGGGAUAACGUUCCGAAAGGAACGCUAAUACCGCAUACGUCCUACGGGAGAAAGCAGGGGACCUUCGGGCCUUGCGCUAUCAGAUGAGCCUAGGUCGGAUUAGCUAGUUGGUGAGGUAAUGGCUCACCAAGGCGACGAUCCGUAACUGGUCUGAGAGGAUGAUCAGUCACACUGGAACUGAGACACGGUCCAGACUCCUACGGGAGGCAGCAGUGGGGAAUAUUGGACAAUGGGCGAAAGCCUGAUCCAGCCAUGCCGCGUGUGUGAAGAAGGUCUUCGGAUUGUAAAGCACUUUAAGUUGGGAGGAAGGGCAUUAACCUAAUACGUUAGUGUUUUGACGUUACCGACAGAAUAAGCACCGGCUAACUUCGUGCCAGCAGCCGCGGUAAUACGAAGGGUGCAAGCGUUAAUCGGAAUUACUGGGCGUAAAGCGCGCGUAGGUGGUUCGUUAAGUUGGAUGUGAAAGCCCCGGGCUCAACCUGGGAACUGCAUCCAAAACUGGCGAGCUAGAGUACGGUAGAGGGUGGUGGAAUUUCCUGUGUAGCGGUGAAAUGCGUAGAUAUAGGAAGGAACACCAGUGGCGAAGGCGACCACCUGGACUGAUACUGACACUGAGGUGCGAAAGCGUGGGGAGCAAACAGGAUUAGAUACCCUGGUAGUCCACGCCGUAAACGAUGUCAACUAGCCGUUGGGUUCCUUGAGAACUUAGUGGCGCAGCUAACGCAUUAAGUUGACCGCCUGGGGAGUACGGCCGCAAGGUUAAACUCAGAUGAAUUGACGGGGCCCGCACAAGCGGUGGAGCAUGUGGUUAAUUCGAGCAACACGAAGAACCUUACCUGGACUUGACAUGCUGAGAACUUUCCAGAGAUGGAUUGGUGCCUUCGGGAACUCAGACA